Molecule: ribosomal RNA, 461 nt
Filed under: uncultured bacterium
Lineage: Bacteria
Description: SSU rRNA
Rfam family: Bacterial small subunit ribosomal RNA
Source: RNAcentral
AGAAUCAACGCUGGCGGCGUGCCUAACACAUGCAAGUCGAACGAGAAAGUGGAGCAAUCCAUUAGUAAAGUGGCGCACGGGUGAGUAACACGUGACUAACCUACCCUUGAGUGGGGGGAUAACUUCGGGAAACCGAGGCUAAUACCGCAUAAUACCUACGGGUCAAAGGAGCAAUUCGCUUUAGGAGGGGGUCGCGGUCGAUUAGUUAGUUGGCGGGGUAAUGGCCCACCAAGACUGUGAUCGAUAUCCGGCCUGAGAGGGCGCACGGACACACUGGAACUGAAACACGGUCCAGACUCCUACGGGAGGCAGCAGUGGGGAAUCUUGCGCAAUGGGGGAAACCCUGACGCAGCAACGCCGCGUGGAGGAUGAAGUCCCUUGGGACGUAAACUCCUUUCGAUCGGGACGAUAAUGACUGUACCGGAAGAAGAAGCCCCGGCUAACUUCGCGCCAGCAGCCGC